RNAcentral lists this non-coding RNA (149 nucleotides) under Erwinia tasmaniensis. Its description in RNAcentral is "FMN sequence". It matches the Rfam family "FMN riboswitch aptamer (RFN element)". Rfam says of the family: The RFN element is a highly conserved domain that is found frequently in the 5'-untranslated regions of prokaryotic mRNAs that encode for flavin mononucleotide (FMN) biosynthesis and transport proteins. This element is a metabolite-dependent riboswitch that directly binds FMN in the absence of proteins. Lineage: Bacteria; Pseudomonadati; Pseudomonadota; Gammaproteobacteria; Enterobacterales; Erwiniaceae. The record is from Rfam by way of RNAcentral.
GCUUAUUCUCAGGGCGGGGCGAAAUUCCCCACCGGCGGUAAAUCAGCUGAGGCUGAAAGCCCGCGAGCGCUUCAGAGCCAUUCUGAAGGUCAGCAGAUCCGGUGUAAUUCCGGGGCCGACGGUUAAAGUCCGGAUGGGAGAGAGUAACG